UGACGUUAAUGAACUAGCGAAGUUGGAAACUAAUUGAAGUAGACUUCUUGGUUCAAAUGAGGAUCAAACGGUAUCUUGUCUGUAAUUCUAUAAUAAUUACUUGUUUAUACUAAACUCAUUUAUUUUGAAAUAAUAUUAUGAAAGUUUUGAAAAAUUUUGUCAAUUUUUUUUUUUUAAUCCGAAAAUAUUAGGUAAGAAAUGUAUAGAAAAUAAAUUACAAAAAUAUGUCAAAAAUGUUUUGAUAGUAGUAGAAAGUAGUAGAAAGUAGAAGAAAUUUAGGUCAAAAAAAUUGUUGAAAAAAAAGUCGAACUAUGUUAAUGUUGAAAAUUCAUGGGAAAAAAGUGCAAAAAAAAAUAUUAGGCCAGACAAUGUUUUCAAAGAAAACGUGUGAUACUCAUGUAUGUCAAACAUUUUCCUAGAACAAAAAAUUCAUAUAAUUGUUUUCCCUUUUUGUUGCUUUUUUUAAGGGCUUGUUCAGCUAUAAAAAUAAGUUAAUAUAUGAUGACAAAGCAUCAUUUGCCCCAAUUCACUUCAUUCAAAAGCGGCCUCCAGGGCCCUGGCUGCUGUUUCUCUGCUCUCAGAUGUUUCAGCAGCUGCAGAGUCGCGCUCAGCGGGGAAGACGUGUUUGCAGAGGGAACAAAAACCCAGAACAUGAAGCAUCUUCCUGCAGGCCGACAUUCAUCCGAGCUUCAUCCAGUCUGCCGCACAACCAGCCAACCUGUCGUGGUGCUUUUCUUGGACGUUGCUUGCUGUGCCCCUCUGUGUGGAGACUACACCCCCUCUGAAUAAAAAACCACCGUGAGGCGCUCUGCUGCAGUCAGUUUUUGUAGCAUAUUAUAAAUUUAAACCAAGGACACAGCUGGGGAUUUAUGGACGGGCUGAGAUUAUAUCACCACACAGUACGAUGAUAAUAAGCCUCCACCGAUUCAUCACUGCGGCCGGGAACGCUUACCUCAGCUAAAGUCUCCAUUCAAUAGAAACUCUCUUCAUUUCUGAUUCUUCCUCGCGAUAAAUCAGAACUUCCCCGGCUCAGAAACGCUCGGCUUCCCCCGAGGAAGUGUGUCUCCUUCAGACGAGUAUCCGACUGGAUUCAUUCACUCGUGCUGAGAACUGACAUUUAUCAUCCAGAAAAUAUAAAUAGAGAACAACAGCAAGCAUUCAAAGAGUCAAACAGCCCCUUUAAUGAAAGUUGAAUGUUGAACUUAAAGAUGCCAUUUGAUUGAGCAGCAAAUCCUCAUGAAAGCGGCUCGUGUGAAGUGUGAAUGUGACAUUAUUUAGUGUAAAACCCGACUAGGUUCAAGAAGAGAUUGAGCUUGAGGGUAGAAAUAAUCACAGUCGGGACGCUUACGUAACAAAUAAGUCAACAUUAACUUUCUGCCUCACUCAGUCUCCGGAGGGAAAGUCUGGCUCUGUGAAAACAGCGAAAAACCACCAUCAUCAUCGUCGUCGUCGUCGCACUCUGUUUAUUCAAAGCGACUCAAAUCGGCGAUCUCCUUUUCGUUGUGAAAUGCUGCGUGGGAUCACAUCUGGAAACACUGCAGCCCAUCGGGGGAGCGGAGAGGUCGCCUUCGCCAGGCGACCUCUCACGUGCGUCGCCGAUAGCAACGAGGAGGCCGAUCCGUCUCCGUGUCUUCGCCUCCUCGCUGCAUCGCGGCAGCAACUCAGGUAACAGACGUAAAUGAGUCAAAUAAACCGGUUUGUGUCUGUUAGAGCUGUUUAUGAGAAGAAUAAUCAAAUAAAAAAACAAGUUAGGCGUUUAAAAGUAUGUGUAUUUGUUUUUAAGCUCUUUUUAAUUGUAAAUAAAUGUCCACUCCCCUGUGGACUCACUUAACGCUCUUAACAUUUUUAAAACAGACGUCUCAUCCGAUAUAGAAAUGAAAAAUGAAAAUACGCAAAGUACUUGAGGCUAAAAUCAUUUUCACUCCUUAAAGCCUGAAACAAACACACAAUGUCACAUUUCAUCGUUUUGGUUGAGAAGAUCUUGCUUUUUUGGGGGGUAAGUUUCCAACUUUAAACUCAUUUGAAGGACUGCGUUCGCCUCCAGGAAACAUCUCUAAACCCCGACGGGCUUCAGCCCGCCGUCGCGGCCUUUAGUCACACGAGAAAUACUGAGAGAAUUGUUGAAGGGGAACAAAUCAUUUAGCGGCGGAAUCCGUUGAAAAUAAAUCUCCUCAAACGUUGGAAACUUUCACGUCUUCCCUUAAAGUCUCCACGCAGUUCCUCCUCGCCGACGUAACGAGGUCAGAAGGUCAGAAGACCGAAGUCAAAGCGGUGAAACUCAUUUCAUCUCCUCCAUUCUCGCGAUGGGUCGGUGAAGGAGCCGCAGGAAGCCUCCUUGCUGUCGGCGGGAACGCCGAACUCAGUCGCUUCCUAACGAGUGCGGCGGGAAAACCAAACGUGGCUAUUUGUCGAGGCGAUAAGUCUCAAGCACAGAGCCGACGUCAACAACUCUUUGCAGGCGCAAAGACAUCGAAAAGGUUUGAAAAACUCCCCAGUCGGCGUUUAAAUGAGGGCGAUUAGCUGCGGGGUCACUGCGAUGCUAACCGUUAGCUCCCGCAGCAACACGCUCACACAGUUUGUUCCAGAGACUCAUUCAAAUGUUUGAUAAAGGAGCUUUUUACUCAAAUAAGAGGAAGGAUAAACUAUUAAUCAAAGUUGCAUUAAUGCAACAGCUUUGGAACAAAUCAAAUGCAAUUCAAAGGGAAACUAAAUAAUUAAAAUGAUUUGCUGAAUAAAUUAAUCAUUGUAAAACAGUCAAAUUCAUGUGGUUCAUUUCUUUUCCAUCUUCCUCCUCAGUGCGACAGAGCGCCUUGUUUGUCCAAAACGUCCCCAAAGGUCGUCUCCAGUAAAAACGUUGUUCCCCUCCGUGUGAAUUUGGUUUUGCUGAACAGCUGUUUUAGGUUCUUCGGCAGCAACAAUGGCGCCGAGAGACAAAACAACACACUGGUCUACUCGGUAUUGUCUGAAAAGGACGAACUACGCGUGUGAUCGUCCUGAAUAAAGUCCCGCGCAGCAGCUGUUGCUAUAGUAACCAUUCAGCCGUGCCGGCCCCCAUUCACAAAAACAAAAAGACGGGCAGCAGCACCCAUUGUGAUGGUGGAUAAUUCCACCCGCGCUUUUCCUUCUGAAGAUGUUUUCUCAGGUUUCUUGACACGACAUCACUCCGGCGCCGCCUUCCUUUUGGGCGACAUGCUGCACACUGCUGGUCGUCUGCGUUCUCCAGGUGAAGACAGUGUGGACGGACGUGUAUCGUGAAGCCAUCAGGACGUAGAACUCGUCACACGCCACGACUCCUCUGUGUAAAUAGUCAUUUGGUACGAUGCAUAAGAUUUGGUUGAAUUGGCCCACGAGUGGCGUUCAGGUGACGGAUGGCCACCUCGAAGUUUACUCAAUGGGAUUUAUGGUCACUUCAGACCACUAUGGAUUUUUAUGAAGAGGUCCGGAGGCACAAUUAAAAGGGAAACGUGACGAUCAAUAACUUGUAGCUGCUGAAUUGUGGCCAAAACAAAGACAUGUUUCAUUAUAGGAAGUCAGCGCGGCCUGAAUCAGCUUAUUUCACAACACGGUUUAUUAAUUAGUACAUGACUGACCGACGGGCUGCAGCAGGAAGUCAAUCAGACGUCAAUGCGCGACGCUCAUUAUUGUGCCGAUGGUUCAAUAAAUACAAGUAAUGGAUCCUGUUUGUGAUUCCAGUGUUCGUUUAUUCUAUUGACUUCAAUAAACAACAUCUGGAGCCACGGAGAUAAAAGCCUGAAUAAAGCAACUGUUACCUCAGGUCUCACUUUAGUCCUGAUCCUCUACAGACCUCCACGGGUAAACCAGACCAUCAGAGACAAGAUGGUCCCUUUCUACAUAGUUCUUCUAAAUUAUGUCAUUAAUGAUGUCAUCGAGUCGGAUUCUGUUGAAUCCAGAUGACAUCAUGAAGGUUCACGAGAACCUCCUUCAGCUCAGACCCCAGAGACAUGUCAACCGUGGACAGACCCAGAUCCUCCAGCAGAGACGUGUCCACUGAGUACAGAUCAGAUCCUCCAGCAGAGACGUGUCCACAGAGGACAGAUCAGAUCCUCCGGCAGAGACGUGUCCACAGAGGACAGAUCAGAUCCUUCAGCAGAGACGUGUCCACCGAGGACAGAUCAGAUCCUCCAGCAGAGACGUGUCCACCGAGGACAGAUCAGAUCCUCCAGCAGAGACGUGUCCACUGAGGACAGAUCAGAUCCUCCAGCAGAGACGUGUCCACCGUGGACAGAUCAGAUCCUCCAGCAGAGACGUGUCCACUGAGGACAGAUCAGAUCCUCCAGCAGAGACGUGUCCACUGAGGACAGAUCAGAUCCUCCAGCAGAGACGUGUCCACCGUGGACAGACCCAGAUCCUCCAGCAGAGACGUGUCCACCGAGGACAGAUCAGAUCCUUCAGCAGAGACGUGUCCACUGAGGACAGAUCAGAUCCUCCAGCAGACGGUCAGACCUUGCAGCAGCAGGAGAGGUUUCCUAAAGGGACCCUGGUGAGAAGACAUCACUUUAGUCCACAGGGACCAAAAGAAUCAACACAAAAUGAAAAUCCCGGAAGAGGGAUGUUUAGUUUGUUGAGUUAAUAACACAAAGAUCACUUAGUACAUGUUGAUGAAUUAUUCAAGGCCUCUUGUGUGUUUGAGAGGCUGAAGCGCUGUUUAAGUUUCAGAUGUUUACCCUCCGGUCACCUUCCUGGAGACUUUUUAACAUCCUGUUCCUCGUCGGUCCGUCCUGUGAUGCCUGCGUAUUCCCAGCGGAAUGAACUAGAAGCUACUUCACGUCCUCCUUCAUCAACUAAAAACAUUUAAAAAGGGCCGCGGCUCUCCGGCUACAAACCAGCUGCCUGCUAAUCCUCAGCUUGAGAGAUGUUCUGAGGAGACUCCACACACUCUCUCGGGGGAACUUUUAUCUGAGAAGUUAAAAAUAACGCAUGUCAGACAUCUUUUCACCUCCUUAAUCCUCACAGAGUCUGAAUGUCAGAGCAGCAAACAAACAAGCUGGAAUCUCUGUCGCUUUAUCCGCGUAGAAGGAACGAUCCUCGAUGCCGCCUCGCCUCGUCUUUCACUUCUGCAGCAGAUGUGAUCCGCCGCCUUUCUGAUGCUGUUUCACGGGUGGACGAGGGGGGUGGUGGGGGUCGAGGGGUGAUCUUCUUUUUAUUCACAUGCAGCGGCCCGAGUGGGUAUCACACCUCUAGAGGCCUCCUGGGGAGUCUCCUUCAGAAGGCCUCUUAAUGGCGAGGGGGGGUGAGGGAGAGGUGGAAUAUUAAUGCUCUGGAUUGCACCUCUUCUUCCCCUGAAGGACAAGAAAAAGGCCUUUUUCCCCGUAUUUUAAGAGAGUCUGACUCAGAUUCGGUGUGAAGUUAUUCAGCAGGUCUGUGUGUGUGUGUGUGUGUGUGUGUGUGUGUGUGUGUUAGCGUCCCCCCGAUGAAGAUGGAGAUGUGAGGUGGCAGCUGACGGACAGGAAUCCCGGGGGGCGGGGCUCUCAAUCGGCAGCUCGGGUGCAUAAUUGACUUUGGGCGUAGCGGCUGGGAGGAUGCGGGUGGAGGAGGCGUGUGUCGAAUCGCUCUGCCUCUCUUCAUCCCACACCGGAUAAACAAAAGUGACAAACGUGAAGCGCUCACGCCGCCAGUUAGUUUGAUGAUGUCGUGUUUUAAUGACCCUCAGUCAGUCUCAGGAUGAGAUGGCGAAAAAGAUCCAUCCAUCCAUAGAAGUCAAAUAGUAAGAAACAUUAAUAUGCUCAGUGUCAUUAUUGUAGGUCUCUCUCCUGACCAGCAGGGGGCGACUCCUCUGCUCCCAUAGACGUCUAUGAGGAAAUGACUCUACUUCUCUGUAGUGACCAGCAGGGGGCGACUCCUCUGCUCCCAUAGACGUCUAUGAGGAAAUGACUCUACUUCUCUGUAGUGACCAGCAG
Long non-coding RNA from Gasterosteus aculeatus aculeatus (three-spined stickleback), 5918 nucleotides. The record is from Ensembl. NCBI's taxonomy places the organism in Eukaryota, Metazoa, Chordata, Actinopteri, Perciformes, Gasterosteidae.